This 465-nucleotide ribosomal RNA is filed under the name uncultured bacterium. RNAcentral describes it as "partial 16S ribosomal RNA". It matches the Rfam family "Bacterial small subunit ribosomal RNA", at positions 28 to 507 of the family's 1533-position model. The record is from RNAcentral.
GACGAACGCUGGCGGCGUGCUUAACACAUGCAAGUCGAACGGAAAGGCCCCUUUGGGGGUACUCGAGUGGCGAACGGGUGAGUAACACGUGAGUAACCUGCCCUUGACUUCGGGAUAACUUCAGGAAACUGGGGCUAAUACUGGAUAGGAAUCCUUGCUGCAUGGUGGGGGUUGGAAAGCUUCGGCGGUUUUGGAUGGACUCGCGGCUUAUCAGCUUGUUGGUGGGGUAGUGGCUUACCAAGGCUUUGACGGGUAGCCGGCCUGAGAGGGCGACCGGCCACAGUGGGACUGAGAUACGGCCCAGACUCCUACGGGAGGCAGCAGGGGGGAAUAUUGCACAAUGGGCGGAAGCCUGAUGCAGCAACGCCGCGUGCGGGAUGACGGCCUUCGGGUUGUAAACCGCUUUCAGCAGGGGCGAAGCUUGUGGUGACGGUACCUGCAGAAGAAGCACCGGCUAACUACGUG